This 252-nucleotide long non-coding RNA is filed under the name Mytilus galloprovincialis (Mediterranean mussel). The record is from RNAcentral. Lineage: Eukaryota; Metazoa; Mollusca; Bivalvia; Mytilida; Mytilidae.
CGGGCAGAAUCAAUUUGCACCGAUUGCAGUUUUGAAAAGGUAUUAAUAGCACCACUCUCUUUUAUUUUGAUGGUAUUAAUUGCGCCAAUAAAUGAAAUGAAAUUGCGCCACAUUUACCUGUUAAUAUUUGUUACCUAUAUCAUACCUGUACAUGUUUUACCUAUAUCAAGACAAGACAAGACAAAUACUUUAUUAAAGUCUCGCCACUUGUUACAUAUAAAAUAUACAGCUUUUUAAAACACAAGUUAACAA